Molecule: non-coding RNA, 1533 nt
Organism: Cyanistes caeruleus (blue tit)
Lineage: Eukaryota; Metazoa; Chordata; Aves; Passeriformes; Paridae
Source: RefSeq, a predicted model, not a curated record
AUUAUUUAUUCUCCUUGAAAUGAGGUCUCUCUGUGGAAAGUACACGUUUCUAAGCUGCCAUGUGGGACACCAAGAGUCAUUCUUUUAAUAAAUCAGAAUUAUUUCUAAUUUGUUCAUAUUCACCCCCACCACCCCCCAGGGUACAUCAGAAGCAAGCAUGAGGGGAAACCAGGCUGAAGCUACAGCUGCUGCUUUGAUGUGCUGCCUCAUGACAACAUAGUUAUGUCAGAUCUGAUGUCAUGAGGCAGUUUUGUUCUUCCAUGUGAGUGGGAACAGAGUGGAACAGACAGAUUUCAACCUUCACAAUGGCCUCCUGCUCAGCACCACUGCAAUUUUCAUUAAGUCUCUUUACUGCAAAGGAGAAGAGAUUGGCCCCUCGUUUUCAUCUUCACAUGGACUUGGUUCUCCUCUGCUUCACCAUGAGCUGAGUCACAGAGCUGGACAUUCUUCAGUGUGCAUGUUAUUGUGACUGAAGAAUGACAGACACGUUUGGCCAAGCAACCUAAAUGUAAAAACCACACUUUUACAACACACAGUUGUAAUCUGGCAAUCUGAGUCUCUGUAACUUGUUGGCCAGAUGGGAGUGAGACAGGAAGAGCAGCACUUGCAGAACAGCAGUCACCCAGGCCUGUGCCAGAAGGAGAGAGCUACUAGGGCAUGAACUCUCAAAGUUACACACCCAGAGUGCUCUGGAUGUGGUCCAGAGCCAGAAGAAAUUUUCUGCCAAUAGCACUUUGGCCUUCACAAGACACAUUUCCCAAAAACCUUGGACUAAAUGGAAAGGAAAAACAUUUUGUCUGCUGUAUGAAAACUUUACCCUCCAGAAUUAGGGGGAAAUAUAGGAAAGCUAAACAAGAUAUAUUCAGCUUCCCUGGUAUGUUAAUCUGAAGACAGAGAAGAGAAACAAAAUCAGAUGCAAGACCUGAGAAACUGAAUUCAAGGUCAAUUGCAGAUCAAGAAGUAGUUUUCCUGCAGAGGAGCCAACAGCAGAUGAAAUCUGUAAUGGAAACAGAGAGAGAGCUGGGGACAGACCGCAUAAAUAUGUGCAGUUUUCAAGGAAACAGGUGUCCAUUUAUUGUAGAACAUAAAGGUUUCUCCAUGUCACUGCAUAUGGCUAUGUCUGCAGCACCAAAAAUACCACUUUAUCCAGAUUUUUUCAGAUGCAUUUGAUCCCGGAUUCUCAAGCAGAUCAAGCCUGCCCAGACGUGAAGUUCAUCCAAAAGUAUAGAAGAUCUGAAUCUGGGGAUCUGCACUACCUGAGCAGUGGCAGAGGACUAAUCAGUUUGCAGUGUAAUACUCCAGAAUGCUUUACUGUUUCAUUCCCUGGUGGCACAAUUCUGUUUCCAAAUGUACCAAGAGUUUGAUGGGAAUGCCAGUUACAUUUCUGAGGAAUAAUGGUGAGUGUCAUCUGGCUGGUGAGGAUAAAGUCUGAAGUAACUGACAAUCUCCAUAAUCUGAAAUUCACUAAAUGUGGCACUGGAUCAGGACUACUGUUCAUACUUAUUCUGCUCACAUAUUUAUUUUGUAUUUUUA